RNAcentral lists this microRNA precursor (145 nucleotides) under Gossypium arboreum. RNAcentral describes it as "MIR7502 microRNA precursor family". It matches the Rfam family "MIR7502 microRNA precursor family". Lineage: Eukaryota; Viridiplantae; Streptophyta; Magnoliopsida; Malvales; Malvaceae. The record is from Rfam by way of RNAcentral.
AACUAGUUCUCUCGACUAUUUAUACUAUUAAAAACUAACGUGAUUGACAGAAUAAUCAGAUAGUUAUACUUGGCUUGCCACAUGUACCUCAUGUCGACGUACAAGAACUAGUUAUUAACAGUAAAAAUGAAUGAAGUUUUUAAUA